RNAcentral lists this ribosomal RNA (483 nucleotides) under uncultured bacterium. Its description in RNAcentral is "partial 16S ribosomal RNA". It matches the Rfam family "Bacterial small subunit ribosomal RNA", at positions 28 to 507 of the family's 1533-position model. The record is from RNAcentral.
GAUGAACGCUGGCGGCGUGCCUAACACAUGCAAGUCGAACGGAGUCGUUUUGGAAAUCUCUUCGGAGAUGGAAUUCUCGACUUAGUGGCGGACGGGUGAGUAACGCGUGAGCAAUCUGCCUUUAAGAGGGGGAUAACAGUCGGAAACGGCUGCUAAUACCGCAUAAAGCAUUAAAUUCGCAUGUUUUUGAUGCCAAAGGAGCAAUCCGCUUUUAGAUGAGCUCGCGUCUGAUUAGCUAGUUGGCGGGGUAACGGCCCACCAAGGCGACGAUCAGUAGCCGGACUGAGGGGUUGAACGGCCACAUUGGGACUGAGACACGGCCCAGACUCCUACGGGAGGCAGCAGUGGGGAAUAUUGCGCAAUGGGGGAAACCCUGACGCAGCAACGCCGCGUGAUUGAAGAAGGCCUUCGGGUUGUAAAGAUCUUUAAUCAGGGACGAAACAAAUGACGGUACCUGAAGAAUAAGCUCCGGCUAACUACGUG